This 63-nucleotide transfer RNA is filed under the name Paraburkholderia phymatum STM815. RNAcentral describes it as "tRNA-Phe (AAA) (tRNA-Phe-AAA-1-1)". The record is from RNAcentral. Lineage: Bacteria; Pseudomonadati; Pseudomonadota; Betaproteobacteria; Burkholderiales; Burkholderiaceae.
GGUUAAAUCAAAAGACAGAACUAAAACUUCUGGACGCGGGUUCGAUUCCCGCCGCCUCCACCA